GAUGAACGCUAGCUACAGGCUUAACACAUGCAAGUCGAGGGGUAACGAGAGGAAAGCUUGCUUUCCUUGUCGACGACCGGCGCACGGGUGAGUAACGCGUAUCCAACCUGCCCCCAACUAGGGAAUAACCUUGCGAAAGUAAGACUAAUACCCUAUAAUUUCCUCAGAUGUCAUCUGACGAGGAAUAAAGAUUUAUCGGUUGUGGAUGGGGACGCGUCUGAUUAGCAUGUUGGCGGGGUAACGGCCCACCAAGGCAACGAUCAGUAGGGGUUCUGAGAGGAAGGUCCCCCACAUUGGAACUGAGACACGGUCCAAACUCCUACGGGAGGCAGCAGUGAGGAAUAUUGGUCAAUGGGCGGAAGCCUGAACCAGCCAAGUAGCGUGCAGGAUGACGGCCCUAUGGGUUGUAAACUGCUUUUAUACAGGAAUAAAGUUAGCCACGUGUGGUUAUUUGUAGGUACUGUAUGAAUAAGGACCGGCUAAUUCCGUGCCAGCCGCCGCAGUAA
This 506-nucleotide ribosomal RNA is filed under the name uncultured bacterium. Its description in RNAcentral is "partial 16S ribosomal RNA". It matches the Rfam family "Bacterial small subunit ribosomal RNA", at positions 28 to 523 of the family's 1533-position model. The record is from RNAcentral.